UUCACUCCAUGUUACCGUUGCAGCCUCCAUCGCUCUCCUUCUUCACCACCGACGAUGCUACCGCUGUAGUUACCGGAGCGAGCCAUUGAGACCGUCGCUGCUUCAUUGAGAACCGCCGCCAUAAUCUCCUCUGCCACCUCCGGUGAAGUCAUGAACGGAUGGAGAAGCCCCACCAAGAAUGAAGGCGGAGCUGUGACCGGCGGACGCGAGUCGUGUGCAGUUGGGAUGCUCUCGGAAUCAGGAGAACCGCUGCCACCACCGUGAGGUGGUGGCUAUCGCUGCAAAAUCCGCCGCCUGCCGCCACUCCUUCCACUUUCCGGCGUCGCUGCCAUCGUGAACAGUUGCUGUUGCCGUCGUGAGCCAUCGGAUGGGUGGCUGGAGUUGUUUUGUGACCAUAUAGCGGGUGUGUAUGCAUGUAUUUCUGGUAGUGCGUGUUUAGUCUAGCCGGAAAUUGCAAGGAAGCCACCGUCACCACCGUGAGGUGGUGGUUGCCGCCAUGAACCACCGUGUGUGGGUGUGUGUCUUAGUGUAUGUGUGUGUGUUUAUUAGCGGGUGUGAAUUAUCGAGUUGUACAUUGUAAUGGUGCCAAAAAAAUAAUAAAAGAAACCCCAACCACCAUCGUAUGAUGGUGGCUGCCGUCACCGGUCGCCGUGUCGGGUGGCGGUGUGCUUGCCUCGUUGAGUUUGAUUCGUUUAGGGUGCUUGAAACCCUAAUGGGCCUUGUAAGCCCUAAUGGGCCCAAUGAGACUUAAUGGGCUUAAUAAACCCUUAUGAGCUUAAUGAUAUUCAAGUGGGCCUAGUAGACACAAUAAAGCCCUAAUUGACCUAAAAUCCCAACAAAUUGAUAAAUGGGCUAAUAAUUAGGGUUUGGAAAACCCUAAUGCCUAUAAAACCCUAAUUUUGAGAGUUAUCGGGACACACGAGAAUUAUUUAAUAACUUGAAAUAUUAAAUAAGAAUCAUUGGUGGAAAUUAAUCUAAGCAAUAUUGGACUUAACGGAUUAAGUCCUUAAUGGGUUAAGUAGGAAACUUAACCCUAAUCAUCAUUUUAUGUGAAACCCUGUAACAUCCGGAUAUCCAGGUAUGGGAAUUUGAGUAUUUUUAUAUUGGGGAAAUGAGGAGACUCGGCGAGUUGACGCCUCAACUCGUCGAGUAGGAUCGCGUUUUGGGGACCAGUUUAAUGAAGGGACUCGACGAGUCAGGUAUUUGGACUCGCCGAGUCGGCGCUGUCAAGGAAAACCAUAAUUGUCCGGGUUUGGGACCUAUUUAAAGGCCCUUAUGGCCUUCAGUGGCGGCCACCUACACCCUUGAGAGACUCCUAUCGAACCAGAGAGCUAAGAGAGUAAAGAAGAGCCAUUUUGGAGCAUUUUUGAGGUGGUUGUGCAAUGGAGUAGUCAUUUCCAGCAAAGGGAGGUCAAGGGGGUGUCGAUUCAGAGCUUUUGAGCUUGCAUCUUCACCAUAGAGGUAUCAAAUCGUUCUCCCUUUUCUGUUUUGGGUAAGAUUGGUGAUUUUAGGGUUUUCUAGCUUCUUUUAUGGCUUAAUUUGUGGAGUAUAGUGUCCCAUUGAGUGUGAAGCCAUAGAUCUGGACCCAAAGAGGUCCAGAGAGUCUCUUCCAUCCUGCUUUAUGCAUUCUAUUUGGAGUUUUGAGCUAGGGUUGUUAUGUAAUGAAGGGUUUCACCCAAAUGAGCUUGUAGAACCUUGCAUGAGUGCCCAAGGUUCGACCUUUUCGUGGUUAUUGGCUUUGAGGGAGUUAGAUCUAUGGUUUGGUGAAGCAGAUCUGACCUCAGAAGGUCAGAUGAGGGUUGUCAUGGGAGCAACUCGCCUAGUCCAUAGGCAGACUCGACGAGUCGAGUCGGGGUUGCCCCGCGUUUCGUUGCCGAGUAACUCGACGAGUAGAGAGGGAACUCGUCGUGUCUAAGAGGUUAAAAAGAAUUUAGAGAACCUGCAUGGACUCGCCGAGUCACUCUUGUGUACUCACCGAGUCUGGUCAGUGUUGACCGUUGACUUGAGUUGUCUUAUGUUGACUUUGGGAGUUUUGGUCAAUAGAGGUAAUAAAGGUCAGGGAGGGGUAAAAUGGUCUUUUACCCGUUACCUGACUAGAGAGGGAAAGAGUAAUCGCCGGUUAAUUAGAGUUGGGACUUCGAGUAUUAAUUAGAGAUAUUUGCCUUAUGUGUUAGGCGGUGGCGAGCCCGAGGUCCGCAUGUGUAGAUAAUUGCUUUCUGAUUUCCAGGUGAGUCUUCUCACUAUACUUUACCUUGAGUAGGUAACUAGAGUUAUGUGUCAGAGUAUUUGUAUGCUAUGUGUUGUACUGCAUUAUUUCUAUGUGAUUUAUGUUGUGCAUGUUUACAGAGUUAGAACCGGAAGGUUCCCAGAGUUAGAACCGGAAGGUUCAUAGAGUUAGAACCAGAGGGUUCAUAGAGUAGGGUCCACGGACCCAUAAAGUUAUAGCCUCGAGUGGCUAAUAUGUGUUAUGUGUGGUAUUUUGGGGAACUCACUAAGCUUCGUUCUUACAGUGUUUUAUGUUAUGUGUUUCAGGUUUCUCUCAGGAUCACGGGACGACACCGGCUCGAUUGUACACACCAGAGAAAGAGUCAUGUUUUGAGGAUCAUGGUUUAUUAUGCAAGUGAAAAUGGAGUUCUGUUUUGUAAUUCGAUUAUGAAUGAGAUUUUAAGCAAAGUGUUUUUAAGAAUUAAACGAUUAUU
This is a non-coding RNA of Lactuca sativa (garden lettuce), 2699 nucleotides long. The record is from RefSeq and is a predicted model, not a curated record. Lineage: Eukaryota; Viridiplantae; Streptophyta; Magnoliopsida; Asterales; Asteraceae.